CCUACGGGGGGCAGCAGUGGGGAAUCUUGCGCAAUGGGCGAAAGCCUGACGCAGCAACGCCGCGUGGGGGAUGAAGGCCUUCGGGUUGUAAACCCCUUUCAGUGGGAACGAAACUGACGGUACCCACAGAAGAAGCUCCGGCCAACUACGUGCCAGCAGCCGCGGUGAUACGUAGGGAGCGAGCGUUGUCCGGAUUCAUUGGGCGUAAAGAGCUCGUAGGCGGCUUGGUAAGUCGGGUGUGAAAUCUCCAGGCUCAACCUGGAGUCGCCACCCGAUACUGCCCUGGCUAGAGUCCGGUAGGGGACCACGGAAUUCCUGGUGUAGCGGUGAAAUGCGCAGAUAUCAGGAGGAACACCAGUGGCGAAGGCGGUGGUCUGGGCCGGUACUGACGCUGAGGAGCGAAAGCGUGGGGAGCGAACAGGAUUAGAUACCCUGGUAGUCCACGCUGUAAACGUUGGGCACUAGGUGUGGGGCCUUAUCGACGGGCUCCGUGCCGCAGCUAACGCAUUAAGUGCCCCGCCUGGGGAGUACGGCCGCAAGGCUAAAACUCAAAGGAAUUGACGGGGGCCCGCACAAGCGGCGGAGCAUGUGGCUUAAUUCGAUGCAACGCGAAGAACCUUACCUGGGCUUGACAUGCGGGUUAAGGCGCAGAGAUGCGCUGACCUUCGGGUCCCGCACAGGUGGUGCAUGGCUGUCGUCAGCUCGUGUCGUGAGAUGUUGGGUUAAGUCCCGCAACGAGCGCAACCCUUGUCCUAUGUUGCCAGCGGGUAAUGCCGGGGACUCGUAGGAGACUGCCGGGGUCAACUCGGAGGAAGGUGGGGAUGACGUCAAGUCAUCAUGCCCCUUACGUCCGGGGCUGCACACAUGCUACAAUGGCCGGUACAAAGGGCUGCUAUCCCGCGAGGGGGAGCGAAUCCCAAAAAACCGGUCUCAGUUCGGAUCGCAGUCUGCAACUCGACUGCGUGAAGUCGGAGUCGCUAGUAAUCCCGGAUCAGCACGCCGGGGUGAAUACGUUCCCGGGCCUUGUACACACCGCCCGUC
This 1041-nucleotide ribosomal RNA is filed under the name uncultured bacterium. RNAcentral describes it as "bacterial SSU rRNA". It matches the Rfam family "Bacterial small subunit ribosomal RNA", at positions 338 to 1398 of the family's 1533-position model. The record is from RNAcentral.